Molecule: non-coding RNA, 141 nt
Filed under: Streptomyces sp.
Lineage: Bacteria; Bacillati; Actinomycetota; Actinomycetes; Kitasatosporales; Streptomycetaceae
Also listed under: 1 other name
Description: SAM-I sequence
Rfam family: SAM riboswitch aptamer (S box leader)
About the family: The SAM riboswitch is found upstream of a number of genes which code for proteins involved in methionine or cysteine biosynthesis in Gram-positive bacteria.
Source: RNAcentral
CGCUCAUCCAGAGGGGCAGAGGGACACGGCCCGAUGAAGCCCCGGCAACCCUCCAGCCGUCCGCUCGCAUCCGCGAGGCCACGGCUCGGGAAGGUGCCAAAUCCGUCUCAUGGCGAAACGCGCCAGUGAGAAAGAUGAGGA